Molecule: long non-coding RNA, 1538 nt
Organism: Girardinichthys multiradiatus
Lineage: Eukaryota; Metazoa; Chordata; Actinopteri; Cyprinodontiformes; Goodeidae
Exons: 2
Source: RefSeq, a predicted model, not a curated record
GAACAACGAGGAAAACCGAAACUGGAGCCAUUUUGUGUGUCGAAGUCGAAAUAAACGGACAUAUUGUGUCGUACAUAGACCUCUCUACUGAGUGGGAGGGCACACUUAAGGAGACACAAGACACACACAUAGAGAUACACACUCCACGCCUUUAUCCUGAAAGAUUUGUAUUUAUUUAUUUAUUUCUGGGUGACGAAGCAACACUUUGCAGCAUUCAAGUUCACUCGGAAAUUUGACAAUCGAGCUUUGUUGCGUUGAUUUAUUAAUUAUAUACCCAGCAGAUAAACAAUUUUUUUUCACGCAUUUAACAUUAUUAUGGAAAUACUUAUUUAAUCUAUACUUCUACUGAAGUUGAAGAUAUUACUCCUUUUCCUUAGUACUCCAUGAACUAACAAGAUAUUAACUAACCCUAACCCAUGCUUCAUCUGCACAUUAAAUUACCUUAGAUUACUCUUCAAAUGCAGGACUGAUGAUAAUGAGUCAAACAUGUUAUACUGAAGCACCUGCAGACUCAGGACUGCCAGCUGAAGCUCUCAACACGUGUCAAUAAGAUCCAACAGCUUCUUACCGCAGGAUCAUAUUGCUGUUCAAAUCCAGGCUGAAAUCUAUAUCACACAUGUUUAUAAUUUUCUUCACACUUUGUUCUCUUUUCUCUAAAAUAUUUAGCAUAAUACUGUAUCUAUAGCAGUCGUCUCAGCUCGUCUGGGGUGAACAAAUGCGGCAAAGACUUCAAACGGGGAAGCUUGCAGUCAUGUGACUUUUAAUGUCAGAAGACAAAUGUUCUACAGCCAGCUUCCAACGUCUGGAACAUGACCACAUGGAGACCAUACAUGAAUGAACAGUUGAUAGUGGCUUUAUGGAAGCCUGACUGUAACCUGCAAUAACUGCAGCUGGUCUUAUUCUAUCAAGCAUAUAAAUCUGAAACAGAACUGAGGUUGAUCACAUGGUUACAACUGCAGUCCAUGUCUGUGUGAGUGGAUACAAUGCAAUGAAUUAACGUCAGUCCUAUUAUGACAACUGGUGGUUGUUAUAAAGUAUUUAAAGCCAAACUGCACAUUGUUCUCUUCAUGACCUCAGAGUUAGACCCAUAUGGUGGCGUGUUCUGUGGGCAGCUAUUUAUGUUGCAUGUAACUGGACAUGGGAAAAAAUGAUGCUGAACUCAAGUGAUGUUUAAAAUACAAACCCCUGGCUGUCCCAUUCAGUACUUUAUUGUGAACAUAGUGUACACUGCUUGUCAAAUGAACAUCAUAUAAAUUCUUUACAGUCUUUUCUUUAAUUUUGUUUAGUAUUACCUGAAUACUAAGAUUUCUAAUUACCACCAACUUUAUAGACUGUAUGAAACAGCAUUAAUAAGGACCUGGACUGUUCAGUUUGUAGUGUGAUGUUUAUAAAGGAUCAUUUGAAGGACACAGUUUACUUAUGUGUUACAUUUUUACUUAAAGUCUGAAGUUAGAAAACACAAAAUCCAAUAUGGCUGCCUUGCUUAAAAAACUUUGUGAAAGCCAACGUUAAAAAUAAAGCUUUAUCUGCUCUCCUGA